This is a long non-coding RNA of Drosophila yakuba, 896 nucleotides long. RefSeq lists it as uncharacterized. The transcript has 2 exons. The record is from RefSeq and is a predicted model, not a curated record. NCBI's taxonomy places the organism in Eukaryota, Metazoa, Arthropoda, Insecta, Diptera, Drosophilidae.
GAAUGAAUGAAUGUUCACGUAAGUUUCUCAGAAAAUGUUAGUGCUAAAAAUAAAUACAUGAUUACAAAUGCAUUUAAAUUGUUGUCAUAGCUUUGAAACAAAUUAAAAAAAAAUUUUAACGCAACAGGUUUUUUCUCAGUGAAUACAGGCAACAGGCGAGCAGUUGUUGACAUUCUUCUUAGCCUGGCUGUUGACUAGACGCCCAGCACGUGCUGUCGCUCCGCUCCGGUUCGUCGCCUUGCCGGGCUGGUUAGAGCGAGACAGAGGAACGCGAGCGGGACGCAGCUGAGCAUGCAUAUUUUAUCGCCCCAGCUCCAGCGCCUCGCACCGCUCCCGCUGCCCACACACCUCCGGGAAGCCCGAGGAUGAUGCCACGGAGCCACAACAUCAUUACAAACAGCCCGGCACCGGAAGGUGCAGCUGGUGAGGCAGCCACAGGGCCAUGGCGACUGAGGCAACAUCAACGGUAGCAGCAGCAGCAGCAGCAGCAGCAGCAUCAGCAGCAACAGCAACAGCUGGAGUCUUCAAUUCAAUCAGUUUAAAUCUCUCUGCUGAGUGCCCAGAAAAUGGAAAUUUUCCUGAUUUGGCUGUCACAACGGUUUUUAUUUCUGCACUAUAAUAUGAAAGAAUUUUAUACACAUUGAUAUACAUAUGUACAUAUUCAUAUAUGUGCGAAUGUAAGUGAUACUUUAAAUUAACUUAAUGUUAUGUUAAUAUCAAAGUGAUGAGCAUUGCGGAUUUUUUAAUUCGUUUGCAUAUAGUUAUGAAACGAUUAUUAUUACAAUUUAAAUCAAAAUUUUACUCCAAGCUAAAUGUGUACAUCCUUUAAUAAAAUUGGUUAAGAAAGGCACAAAUUCUUUCGAUAAAACUCAAUAAAUAAGCUUUAUAGAAUGUUA